ACUCCUUCUCACUAGUUGCUGUAAGACAAACUCCUUGCUUGUUAGUUAUGGCUCGUACCAAGCAGACCGCUCGCAAGUCCACCGGCGGCAAGGCGCCGCGCAAGCAGCUGGCCACCAAGGCGGCCCGCAAGAGCGCGCCCGCCACCGGCGGCGUGAAGAAGCCGCACCGCUACCGGCCCGGCACGGUGGCCCUGCGCGAGAUCCGGCGCUACCAGAAGUCCACGGAGCUGCUGAUCCGCAAGCUGCCGUUCCAGCGGCUGGUGCGCGAGAUCGCGCAGGACUUCAAGACGGACCUGCGCUUCCAGAGCUCGGCCGUGAUGGCGCUGCAGGAGGCGUGCGAGGCCUACCUGGUGGGGCUCUUCGAGGACACCAACCUGUGUGCCAUCCACGCCAAGCGUAACAUGUCUGGACGCGGCAAGGGCGGCAAGGGCCUGGGAAAAGGUGGCGCCAAGCGCCACCGCAAGGUGCUGCGAGACAACAUCCAGGGCAUCACCAAGCCCGCCAUCCGGCGCCUGGCUCGGCGCGGCGGCGUCAAGCGCAUCUCCGGCCUCAUCUACGAGGAGACCCGCGGGGUGCUGAAGGUGUUCCUGGAGAACAUGAUCCGGGACGCCGUCACCUACACCGAGCACGCCAAGCGCAAGACCGUCACGGCCAUGGACGUGGUCUACGCGCUCAAGCGCCAGGGCGCACCCUCUACGGCUUCGGCGGCUAAAAACUUAGGUCUUUA
Non-coding RNA from Sus scrofa (pig), 727 nucleotides. NCBI's taxonomy places the organism in Eukaryota, Metazoa, Chordata, Mammalia, Artiodactyla, Suidae. The record is from RefSeq and is a predicted model, not a curated record.